ACUCCAGUGUGGCUGGGGGAAGAAACCUAAGAUGGGUGGAUUUUCGGGCUGUGGCUCAGGAGCAGGAGCUCCGAACCAAGGUGAAGAGCUGGCAGUGUGACCCUGGAUGAGGAUUCAAGUUAGCCUGGGGUACCCUUCUCUAUUUUCCACUCCCAAACUGGAAGAAGAAUCUUCCAUAAAUGGAAUCUUCCAUAAAUGUAGAGAAACUGGGGGCUUUCCAGCCCUAGCUUUGGUCAGUAACUAUUUCAAGACAACACCUAAGAAGAUGGCUUUGCACUGGGAAAGAAACGAGGGAAGACAGAAAGUAAAGACAGCUAGGCACUCAUGUGUCAGACGAGAGUUAUUCUGCAAGAGGCCCUUACAGAAUAACACAGGCAAUUAGAGGCAAGGAAUUUUCCUUAGAACACUAAACCUGAUGUACAAUGAAGACAAAAUACUAACUCAUAAGCUGCCAUUCACUUCCUACAAAGAAACAGCUCAAGCCACGUCCCCGCCACCUCCUGGAUCAGGAGAGACCUGUGGGUCCUGCAGACACUGGACCUCCAGGGAGGCUGAACAGCAGAUCAUCCCCACGCAGCUUCUCGCUGAGACCUGAUAAACCGCAGCGUCGCUCUGGGCACAGCUAGGAGGAAGAUACACAGGCUAUCUCAUCUCCAGGUUUCUGUGUGGCAUGUUCCAAAAUGAGCUCCAAAAAGUUCUCAGAGCUCUGGCCUUCCUAUUCAGCAGGAGUCCAGCUGAGCCUGACCUGAUAUCUCAAGGUAGGAGGUUUACAAUUGACCUGAUAUCAUAGGACUCAGAGACAACAGGGACAGAACAAGGGAGAAGGCCAGGCAGGAAGCGAAGGUGAUAUGGCCUAAAGGCAAACUGAAUGGGGACACGGGAUCAAGAGAUAGCUCUACCACAAAGUGAGGGUUUAUCACAAGCCAGGAAAGGUGAGGAGACACUUCUAGACUCUAAUGUACAACAGAGAAGGAGUACAGGCUUUGGUGAGAUGCUCUUUGCUGUAUGCAUGUCAAGGAGAAACUAUGGCUGGAGCUGGUCGUCACAAAGACACAUGUCCCCCAGCCUCCAUCUUGCCUCAGUCUCACAGUCCUAUACACCCUCAUAGCUUGUCCUGUCCCAGUCUCUAUGAUCCUGCUAAAUCAUUGGCCCGAUUUGGUUCCAGCUCUGCCUCAACCGUGCCAUCCACUCUUACUAAGAGUCUUGGAGGGUGUUGGCCAAACUCUCUUCAGUGCUAGAAUGCUGUGGUUUCUACAUCGUUGAGUCUCCAUCUUCAGUGACUCUAGACUGUGACUCUGAUUACCAUGGAGGACCAAGACUGUGCCUCAUACUCUUCCCAGCAUGGUGCUUCCCAUGGAAGGAAAUGUUGAUGGAGGGACCCUGUAAGAGUCAGCACAUUUACAGUAUCAAUUGAUGAGUGAGCCUUUCCCUGACUGUUCCAAGGUCAGAAGAGAGGUUCUUGAGUCAAUCUGUCACCUACCCACAAGACUCAACACGACCUGUUCCAAAGGGUUAGCACCAUCAUGAGGAGAGCUACCAAAUGCCUGUCUCUGGGGAAAGAUGAGUAAAUGUUCUAAGGGCUGGCUUAUGACCAUUCUCUGAGAUCCUCACCUUCUGAAGUCACAACCGGGAAGCGAUGACGGACAGGGAAUUCUCGGAAGGAAUCCAUCACCCCAGAGACUAAAUGGGAGGUUCUCGUCAGACCCUCAGAACCCAUUCAAGUAGGCCUCUCGGCAUGGUGAGAGUAAGUGGAUAUGAGUAGUGGAUAUGAGGCACACCUUCUGAAUUCAUUCAGGAAGAAUGUCUGGGAAGCCCCAUGCUGGGAAGAGAGGCCCUUUAGGUGCCGGAAAGUUCUCCCAGUCAUCCUUAAGACUUGUUACACCUACUUAAGCACACAGAACGCCGAGUUCACAAAAUGCUUUCCAGACUUGGGUGAAAGCCAUCAGCACUUAGCCAAGACAUAAUGAAGUUCAGUCAUCUUUAUUUCUACCCGGUGAGGUCUUGACAAAGCACGUCGUUGGUAUUUCACCUCCAACAAGAAAGAACCGAGAAGAAAAGUGCUGGCGCUCCAAGCUAGCUUUCUUUCUUAUCCCUAAGAUAUCAGUUUUAAUCUGUCUCAAAAGCAUUCUCUUGGUGUGGCAGUGCAUGCCUUUAAUCCCAGCACUCUGAAGGCAGAGACAGAGGCAAGAGGAUCUCUGUAUGUUCAAGGCCAGUCUGGUCUACAUAGAGAGUUCUAGGACAGCAAGGGGCUACACAGUGAGAUCCUCUCUCCCAAAACCAACCAACCAACAAACAAAACAAAAGGAUUUUAAGGUAGCUUGAGAUAGUAAUGUGAUGAGUUGACCUCAGAUUUUUCUCUUAAUUUAGGAAAUAAAACCCUGUGUUCUGUAAAGGGUUGACUUAAAAUAACAAUUCUAAUGUAAGCAGGGUGUGUGUUUUGAGAUAUUCCCUUUGAAAUAAGGAUGUCUUUAACUGAGUCUUGGGUACCAUCCAAUUUCAUUCAUAGUUAGAUGCUCAGGGCCUUGGGUUACCUGAGAGGGUUGAGAUGUUCUUGGGUGAUUGUGUAUAGGAGAGGACUGAUGUGCCUCUAGGGAACUGGACAAAGUCACAGCGACAGACAACAAGUUCUGAUGCUGAAGUCUCAGACCAGAGUAGCCUAAGGAAUGUGGCCCAUGUCCCAAGGUUCAUGAAAUUUAACUGCUAGGGCUGGAGAGAUGCUCAGUUGUUAAAGGGGUUUCUGUGCAAACACGAGGACCAGAGUUCAUAUUCUCAGCACCCACAUAAAAGUGGUUACCUAUAACCAUAGUGCUAGUGGGGUAGAAAGGGCAGACUUCCCAGGACCUUGCUGCCAGACAAUCUGGACCAAUCAAUGAGCUUCAGGUUCAGUGAGAACACUGUAUAAAGGCUUGAGGUGAAGAAGUGGGGAAAUCAUUGAAGAAUGAUGCUAGUAUUAACCUCGAGUCUGCCUCCACAUGCAUGUACACGUGCACAAACAUGUGGAAAUGUACAAACAGCUGUACAUACCCAUACUUAAACACACACACAUACACAUGUGUGUACAUGCGUGCACACACACAUACACACAGAGAGAGACAGAGAGAGAGAGAGACAGAGAGAGAAUAAUUGCUAUAGCUGAUAAAUUACCAAAGUCUCAGAUUCACCUUUAAAACAAACUUUCAAAUAUAGUUAUGAUAUAAAAUCAUAUAAUAAUAAAACCCAAUGUCUGUAGUAUAAUAAAUAAUGCAGCUUUUCUUCUAAUAAAUAGUCACUUAUUUUUAUGUCUGUUUCCUGCAACAGAAGGUGACAUCCUGAAAGACUCAGCACUCCUUUACCUGAUCUGUGAUUAAAACACAUUAAGCACUCUCCUUGUUGAAUAAAUGAACGGAUUAAGAAUUGAUAAAAAUUAUUCCACAGAAAAGGGUAGUCACAGGGAGUGCGGGGUUUGGUUGGCUUUGUUUUACGUGGGACAGGGACACGUGGAGAUAGACAUUUAUAAAGAUCCUCUAAACAGUCCAUGCAUGGACAAUGAAAUAGAAUAUAACAUUUGACUGUGGCAGGGCUAGAAAGAUGGCUCGGAGGUUUAGAGUAUAUACUGCUUUUCCAGAGGACCACAUUGGGUAGCUCAGAGCUGACUUUAACUCCAGAUCCAGGACACCCAAUACCCUCUGUCUUCCAUACCUCACAUGACACACAUACAUACACAAAUUCUUUUCAAAAACAUUCGGCCGUUCAUUCCCCAAUCCAAGUAGGUACUCCUCGCUGACAUAUGACUUCAUUACUUCAUUCUUCAGAAGAGUAGUCUGUGUUCUCGUCUUCAAUUUGAGGUGUCCCAUGUCUGUCUUUGGUCACAGUAAUGUGGUGGUUUGGGUGUUUGAGUGAACACCAGAGGCCCUAUAGCUCUGGUCCCUGUCCUGAAAGUCAGUUUCUGCCUCCUACGAGGACAGGAGUCAGUGUGUAGGAGUCACCUAGCAAUGUCAGCUAUCAGACAUGGGGGUAAAAGUAUCUUGGACCUUUUAGGUCAACCAGAACUCACACUGGCUCAAACUUCAUGAUUGAGCAUGAAGAAUGCCCUUGAGGUGAGUUACAGGAUUCCAGGUGCUUCCUCUCUCCCUUGUGCCCUUGGGCCUGAGGUGGAUGUUCUCGCUCCGUGUGUUCCAGGAGCUCCGUCAUGAUGCACCACCUCUCCACCAAUCAUGGGCCAGACCCUCCGAAGCUGAGAGCCGAAAUGUUCUUGCCUUACAAGUUGGUUGUCUAUAGUGCCAGAAAGGUGGCCAAUGUCCAGUUUAGGACACUAUCCUUUGACGUUGACCUGCAGAUGACUCCCAGGUGACCUGGACAAGCUCUGGGUAUGUUCUGAGAGCCAGUGUUAUGUUAUAAGAUGCAGCUGCCCUGUGUCUGGAUGGACUGAGGACAGCGUUCUUCUUGGUUGACUGCUCAGAUGCCCCGCAUAUCCGAGGACUGUUUGCUAAGACUGUAGUAACAGAUCUCCACAAACCAAUACAAGCAAGAGAAAUGUAUUCUUCCAAGCAUCUGGAGGAUUGAAAUGUACAUCUGGAAGUCCAAGGUGUAAGUGCCAUUAAAGUCGAACUUCCCCUGAAGCUCUGGGAAGAGUCAUCCUUUGCGGUUGCCUUGCUGGCCGUCUUGGGCAAUCCUUAGUUUCUAGCUGCUUCACCCUCUUUCUCAGCACCCAUCUCUGGCUGUUUUCCUAGCCAUGUCCCUGAUUUCCCUUUCUCUAUGGACAUUGGUCAUCAGUUUGGAGCUUACUCUAAUCCUAUAUAAGCUCAAUUAUGAGUGCAAAGACAUUAUUUUCAAAUGAGGUUCUAGUCCAAGGUUCGAAGUGUAUAUAGAUAUGGGUGGGGGAUAAUAUUCAUCUGCAUAUUGUGUGGGCACAUUAGCUUGUGUCUGUGUAAGCUUUUAGGCUUGCCUCAGCCCAGCCAAUGCUGGAGCAAAGUUAAUGAGUGUGCAAGAGGGGCCACUUUCCAUUCUCAUCUUAUUUCUGCUCUCUCUCUCUCUCUCUCUCUCUCUCUCUCUCUCUCUCUCUCUCUCUCUCUCUCACAACAUGGCAGGAUGUGACAAGGACCUUCAAAAAAUGCCUCUUGUGAGCCUGGACCACAUAGUGAGUUCCAAGGGCCACAUAGUAAGACCCUGUCUAAAAAAUUAAAAAUAAAAAACAACUAAAACACUUCUUGUGGCAAAAAUAAAAAGGAUCUGUGAUGGUUAGUUUUAUGUUAAACUUAACAUAAGCAGGGUCAUCAGCAAGGUGGAAGCUUCAACUGAGGAAAUACCUCCAUAAGGUAUUUUCCCUCCUUUCUGUAUGCAAGGCUGUAUACAAGCUGGGAGUGCAUUUUCUUAAUUAGUAAUCGAUGUAGAGGGCCCAGCCUAUCGUGGGUGGGGCCGUCUCUGAACUAGUGAUCCUGGGGUCUAAUAACAAAGCAGGCCGAGUAAGUCAUGGGAGCAAGCCAGUAAGCAGCACCCCUCCAUAGCCUCUGCAUCAGCUCCUGUCUCGAGGUUCUUACCCUGUUUGAGUUCCUGUCCUGACUUCCUUCAGGGAUGAGCAGUGAUGUGCAAAAGUAAGCCAAAUGAAUCUUAUAUUGCCCAAGUUGCUUUUGGUCAUGUAGUUCAUCGCUGCAAUGAAAGUCCUAACUAGCUGGGGAUUUAGCUCAGUAGUAGAGCGCUUGCCUAGGAAGCGCAAGGCCCUGGGUUCGGUCCCCAGCUCCGAAAAAAAAGAAAGUCCUAACUAGAAGGGGAUCUCUCUCUCUCUCUCUCUCUCUCUCUCUCUCUCUCUCUGGAUGUUGGGCUUGGACGUAUUUUUAUCUUUAAAUAAUACUCACAAAAUGUCACAUGGUUUCCAACUUGUCCACAUAUUGGUGCUGUUUGCUUUCUCUAUGAGGUAGAAAACAUUCACCCCUCCCAAUUCCUAUAUCUUUAAGGAAAAAAAAAACCCACUGCAUUUUCAAAUUGUAUGCAGGUGUUAAUGUUAUGACUGAUGUUUCUCUCUCCGAUGAUUUUUUUGGCUCUCUGUCUCUCUUCCCUGGCAAGCACUCUUGACCUGUAGCUGGAUAGGCACUGAUAUAUCUCUCCCGGAAUGAGACCUUGAGGUGAAUUGGCGGUGUGGAUAGAGGAGUCCCACCAGGUAAUGAAAGGAGGGAAAAGCCAAAUGCCAGCAAACCCAGCGUCGGAGUGGUUGAUCCUGGUAUGGUUUCAGUCUGAAACAUCACCACACAAAGACCCAUGUGUUUAAACGUAUGGCGAGGCUGUGUUAGAGGUUGUGGUGUUGGGAUGAAGGAAGGGGCCGUCACUGGGGGCUGGCAUUUGAAGGUUAUAUGUCUUUUCCUGGUCCUAGUCUCUACUUCUUGAUCCAUCAAGAUGUGAGAAGUUCCCACAGCCUCAGACAAAGUCACCCCAUCAAGCUUUCUCCUCCACAAUGAGCUGUGUCCUCUGAAAGUGGUCAGUAGUCGAAGCUGAGAAGUUGCUCGGAGGCUGUUUGAACCGUGAAGAAAUGUUGUCUCUCUGGAAAGCCUGCACUUGGUGCUACAUGAGAGCUUGCAGCUUCCCCGACCUUGGUCCUAAGACACUCCUGGCAAACCUAGAGUUCUUACCUUUGAUUAUGGCUAGGCAUGGUCAAAAGGGACUGAGACUUUCUGUGCUGUCUGCUCUCAGGGGCAGCAAGGGCAAGAUGGCUUUGGUAGCUGGGACCUUCCCCAGCCCCAAUUAACCUAAAGCUUGCUGGGUGUCAGUCUUUUUCAAGACGGCUGAACCCCUCAGCUCCCCCCGGGAAAUGAAGGUUUAGAAUCUUGGUGAGCAAAAAAAAUAAAUAAAUAAAUAAAAAAAAUAAAAAAUAAAAAAAAAGAAUCUUGGUGAGCUUCUUUCUACAGCAUCACCUACGACUGACAUCAAUCAAUAUCGAUAGGCCUUGGCCAGAUUGGAAUGAAGAAGCCUUGCUUGAGGGACACAAAUGACAAAUUGGGGGCCUGCUAGAUGUAUUUGACACACAGAACGGCUCUGUUUGCUUACUACUGCCUGUCCUCCAUGCUGGAGUGAGUGCUCUGUGAGAAUGUAGACAGUGUUUGCUAUUUUUUUUAAAGAUGUAUUUUUUCAUUUAUUAUAAGUACACUGUAGCUGUCUUCAGACACACCAGAAGAGGGCAUCAGAUCUCACUACAGAUGGUUGUGAGCCACCAUGUGGUUGCUGGGAAUUGAACUCAUGACCUCUGGAAGAGCAGUCGGUGCUCUUAACCACUGAGCCAUCUCUCCGGCCCCAGUGUUUGCUAUUUACCUCCAUCUUUAGUAUUAGGUUCAAGGCCUGCUGUGUUGUUUGAUGAAUGGCAGCCUUGGUAGUCUGUGAGCCACAAGAAUUUAGCACGGUGAGAUGACCUUUGACCUUACUUUGGACAAAAAGGUACAUGGGUGUCAAGAAAGCUGGUGGAGGUGCCUGAAACAUGGCUCUGCUGGUAAAGAUGUCUGUUCACCCGAGUGCAGUCUCUGGGGCCCACACGAUAGAGAGAACUGACUCCUGCAGGCUGUUCCCUGGCUUCUACUUGCGUGCCAGGGCAUGUGAGCAAAUAGAUAAGAUUAAAGCACGCAAAAAAAGUGAGCUGAUGACUACCUCUGUCUGUCAUAUGAAAAUGUACAAGCAGCAAAAUAUUUAGAUCUCUUAGUCAUACUGGUUUUAUGUUUUUGUUUUAUGUUUUUGUUUUUUGUUUGCUUGUUUUUGCAGACAAAGAAAAUGAGAGGUUAAUCUCAGAGCAAGACAGUUAAUAACAUGGAAUUCCAACUCAAGGCUCGCUUUCUUUUUCCCUCAGAUCCAGGCCUCCAUGCUCACAUUCCUGCCUACCAGUCAUUCCUGUGCUCUGCCCUACUGCCAGCCUCCUUACAGAUGCUUUAGGGUCAGUAACAUUGGGGGAUGUCGACGUAUGAGUGUAAAAUGUCUCGCACAGGCUCACAUGUUUGAAAACAUUGUCCCCAUUUGGCGACACUGUUUGGGAAGGUUAUAGAACCUAGAAAAAAUGAGCCUUGCUGGAAAAAUGGGUCACUGAGAUGAGGAUUGAAGUUUCAUCACCCAACCCCACUUCCUAUCCACUCUCUGCUUCUUGAGUCAGAUACAAUGUAACUAGUGGACCUCUGAUUCCUACUUGUCUUGCCCACCAGUGAAAUGUAUCCCCUUAAACAAUAAUCCAGAAUAAACCCUUCCUUGUUUAGGUUUCUUCUCAUGGUAUCUUAUCACACCAAAGAGAAAGGUAGCUAAAACAGGGACCACAAGUACAGACUCCCUGACAGCUUCAAACAGAACAGUUCACAUCUUUCCUACAUAUCCAGCCUCUGCAUUUCAGAUAAUCACAUAUUAUCUCCUGGGGAAACAAAAAGAUCUAGAAACUACUGUCCCGAACCAUCACUACCUUUUUUUAGAGGAGAGCAGGAUCUCAGGUGUCUCAGGCUGACCUUGAACUCCUGAUCCUCCUGCCUUUACCUCGGAAAACUGGAGUCUGAAAGUUGCUUUCUAUCCUUAAUUCCCUAACGCAGUUGCAAUGGGUUCUGGCUAGUCACUUGUGUUUCCUUCAUCCAAUAUGGAAGGUUGGACACCAGCGCUGAAAUCUCAUCAUGUUUUCUUAACUUUACAGAGAGAACAAGAUUAGACCAAAAAAAAAAAUCAUCCAAUGUAGGAAAAUGACUUGGAAUUCUAGAUAAAGUUUAAGUCUCCAAUGGCAAACUAGAGAGGGCUAAAUAGUUGCUUAACUCAAUGAAUAUAGUCCCCCUUAAUUAUCCUAUGGAGACCUCAGUUCCAGGAUAGCCAACCCUGGGGAUGCUCUCUUUCCUACAUAAUAUGACGUUCUAUUUGUACAAACCGCCCCAUGUUAAUUUCAAUGCCUAAUAUGCAUACAUUAUAUAUAAAUUACUAGUGGACUAUAUUGUCUAGGGAGUAAAGAUAACCAUGACUAGUCCUUAUCCGAGUUUUUUUUUUUUUAAAUAUUUUUAACCUCAUGGUUGAUUAAAUCUGCAGGUAAUCCAUUCAUGCAGAGGGAGCAUUUCAGUCAGUACUGGAUGCUCUGGCCGAUGCCUGACCGUAACAUCUAAGACCAGAACUUCUGAAGCAAACACCAGUCUGACCUUUAGUAACCAGCACAGCAUGGGAGACAGAAUUUUAGUGAAUGGUCCACAGGAGCCAAGCCACUUACCCUGGGA
Molecule: non-coding RNA, 9179 nt
Organism: Rattus norvegicus (Norway rat)
Lineage: Eukaryota; Metazoa; Chordata; Mammalia; Rodentia; Muridae
Source: RefSeq, a predicted model, not a curated record